RNAcentral lists this ribosomal RNA (274 nucleotides) under uncultured bacterium. RNAcentral's name for it is "partial 16S ribosomal RNA". It matches the Rfam family "Bacterial small subunit ribosomal RNA", at positions 523 to 796 of the family's 1533-position model. The record is from RNAcentral.
AUACGGAGGGUGCAAGCGUUAAUCGGAAUUACUGGGCGUAAAGCGCGCGUAGGCGGUUCGGUAAGUUGGAUGUGAGAGCCCAGGGCUCAACCUUGGUACUGCAUUCAAAACUGCCAGGCUAGAGUACGGUAGAGGGGGGUAGAAUUCCACGUGUAGCGGUGAAAUGCGUAGAGAUGUGGAGGAAUACCAGUGGCGAAGGCGGCCCCCUGGAUCGAUACUGACGCUGAGGUGCGAAAGCGUGGGGAGCAAACAGGAUUAGAAACCCUAGUAGUCC